AGUGGCGAACGGGUGCGUAACGCGUAUGCAACCUACCUUCAUCAGGGGGAUAGCCCGGAGAAAUUCGGAUUAACACCGCAUAAAAACACAGUACGGCAUCGUACAAUGUUCAAAUAUUGAUAGGAUGAAGAUGGGCAUGCGUGUCAUUAGCUAGUUGGUAAGGUAACGGCUUACCAAGGCGACGAUGACUAGGGGAUCUGAGAGGAUGACCCCCCACACUGGUACUGAGACACGGACCAGACUCCUACGGGAGGCAGCAGUAAGGAAUAUUGGUCAAUGGAGGCAACUCUGAACCAGCCAUGCCGCGUGCAGGAAGACUGCCCUAUGGGUUGUAAACUGCUUUUAUACGGGAAUAAACCUAUCUACGAGUAGAUAGCUGAAUGUACUGUAAGAAUAAGGAUCGGCUAACUCCGUGCCAGCAGCCGCGGUAAUACGGAGGAUCCAAGCGUUAUCCGGAUUUAUUGGGUUUAAAGGGAGCGUAGGCGGCCGUUUAAGUCAGAGGUGAAAACUUGCAGCUCAACUGUAAGCUUGCCUUUGAUACUGAAUGGCUUGAAUGAACUUGAGGUAGGCGGAAUGUGACAAGUAGCGGUGAAAUGCAUAGAUAUGUCACAGAACACCAAUUGCGAAGGCAGCUUACUAAGGUUUAAUUGACGCUGAGGCUCGAAAGCGUGGGGAUCAAACAGGAUUAGAUACCCUGGUAGUCCACGCCCUAAACGAUGAUAACUCGAUGUUGGCGAUAUACAGUCAGCGUCCAAGCGAAAGCGUUAAGUUAUCCACCUGGGGAGUACGCCCGCAAGGGUGAAACUCAAAGGAAUUGACGGGGGCCCGCACAAGCGGAGGAGCAUGUGGUUUAAUUCGAUGAUACGCGAGGAACCUUACCCGGGCUUGAAAGUUAGUGAAUGAAUCAGAGAUGAUUCAGUGGUUUACCACACGAAACUAGGUGCUGCAUG
This 950-nucleotide ribosomal RNA is filed under the name Pedobacter glucosidilyticus. Its description in RNAcentral is "bacterial SSU rRNA". It matches the Rfam family "Bacterial small subunit ribosomal RNA", at positions 94 to 1047 of the family's 1533-position model. The record is from RNAcentral. Lineage: Bacteria; Pseudomonadati; Bacteroidota; Sphingobacteriia; Sphingobacteriales; Sphingobacteriaceae.